Molecule: long non-coding RNA, 488 nt
Organism: Mesocricetus auratus (golden hamster)
Lineage: Eukaryota; Metazoa; Chordata; Mammalia; Rodentia; Cricetidae
Exons: 4
Source: RefSeq, a predicted model, not a curated record
AGAUAAGACCUAUGCCUCCCGGUAUGAUCACCCUGAGUCUGCCCACAGCUGUGUCUUCCAGUACUUUGCCAGUGCUUAAGGGCAUUUGCUGUGCCUAGAGAAGACCUAUGCUUAAUGGAAGGAUCACCAUGAGUUUGCCCACACCUGUGACUUCUGGUCCUUUUCUGGUGCUUAAGAGAAGUCCAGCAACUCUUGGAAGAAUCAUCCUGAAUCUGGCCAUACAUUUGUCUUCUGGUCCUUUCCCAGUGAUUAAGAGAAGACCUACACCUCCCAGAAGGAGCACCAGGAGUCUGUACAUGGCUGUGUCUUCUGGUGCUUUCCUGGUGCUUAAGGUGAGUGGAGGUCCUGCUCAGAGCCCAAACUUCCAACAUCCCCAUCUCCCUCUCUCUGAGCAUUUUCUGCACCUAAAGAAGACCUGCCCCUCUCAGAAAGACGAUCCUCAAUCUGCCCAUACCUCAGUCUUCAGUGUCUUCCUGUCCUUUCCUGGU